UUAUGUUUUGGCGUAUGCCUGCGUGAAAUAUUUUGUGCCUUUGGCAGUAAUGCUUCGAUACUGUGAAAGUUGUCGGUACAAUAUUCUUAUUGUUAUUUGUUGGUAUUCACUUAAUUUGUGUGGCUUGUUGACGACAGCGACAAGCAACAAUGACAGUUAACAGUUUUUUGCAUAGAACUCGCACAUGGCAAGCAACAACGAGUAACACAAAUAAGAAACUAAACUGCAACAAGAGAAUAACAAAAACAAAAGAAAAAACAAUAAUGUUCAAGCCAAAAAACAACUAACAAAGAAUAAACUGAUGUUGUGUAUGUUUAGGCGCAUAACCUCAAGAGACGUUUUGAUAUAAUGAAAACGUGUUAAAAUGUGUUGUAAGCGACCAACUUUGAGUUGUUUUUUUUCCAUUGUAUUUUUAUUUUUGUCAACUGGUAAAUAAUAUAAAAACAAUAUUCAAAACUUUUUCCCAACACAAAACAGUUAACAAUAGCAACAUAAAUUGUUCGGACAUGAGUUUACAUCUACGCGUAAUGGACCCAAAAGCUAUAAAUUUGGUAUGUCCUUAAUGUUAAGCGACACUUGACGCGUAAAAAAUUGUCUACCAACCAAAAAACAACUCCAGAAAAAUAAAUGUCAGCGUAAAACUUGACAGCAACAUGUGGGCGUAAAUUGGAGAACAUAACUGAAACAACAAGUCAGUCGAACACCUUAUAAGGAACUGCCAGUAUUCUAAUUUGCCUUAGGAUAAUUUUGGAGAGAUAUCCUCGAUUAUCCUAUAACAAAGUUUGUGUAUGCGUACCGACCGACUGCAGUUGGCAACAUAGAGUAGUUGUUUUGUACAUACAAAUGGCUAUUAUAAAGCUCACUAAAAUACUGGCGGCCAUACGAAAACUCCAAGCCAACCAACCUAAAGGAUUAAAAGUACCAAAACAGCAAUAAAUUUAAUUAAAAAAUUUUUCUAAAUGUUUUAUUAAAGUUUAUGCUGGUAACACUGCAUUGUUGCCAACUUUUAUUUUUCAUACUUUUAAUU
Molecule: long non-coding RNA, 1027 nt
Organism: Teleopsis dalmanni
Lineage: Eukaryota; Metazoa; Arthropoda; Insecta; Diptera; Diopsidae
Exons: 4
Source: RefSeq, a predicted model, not a curated record